AUACCUGUUGGAGGCCCGAACCGGGUAAUGUUGAAAAAUUAUCGGAUGAGCUGUGGAUAGGAGUGAAAGGCUAAUCAAGUCCGGAGAUAGCUGGUUCUCCUCGAAAGCUAUUUAGGUAGCGCCUCGUGUUUCACUCUUGGGGGUAGAGCACUGUUUCGGCUAGGGGUCAUCCUGACUUACCAAACCGAUGCAAACUCGAAUACCAAGAAGUGCAAUCACGGGAGACACACGGCGGGUGCUAACGUCCGUCGUGGAAAGGGAAACAACCCAGACCGCCAGCUAAGGUCCCAAAGUUAUAGCUAAGUGGGAAACGAAGUGGGAAGGCAUAGACAGCCAGGAGGUUGGCUUAGAAGCAGCCACCCUUUAAAGAAAGCGUAAUAGCUCACUGGUCUAGUCGGCCCGCGCGGAAGAUUUAACGGGGCUCAAGCUAUACACCGAAGCUGCGGAUGCAUGCUUGCAUGCAUGGUAGAGGAGCGUUCUGUAAGCCUGUGAAGGCGUGUUGUGAGACAUGCUGGAGGUAUCAGAAGUGCGAAUGCUGACAUGAGUAACGAUAAUGCGAGUGAAAAACUCGCACGCCGAAAACCUAAGGGUUCCUGCGCAACGCUAAUCGGCGCAGGGUGAGUCGGCCCCUAAGGCGAGACCGAAAGGUGUAGUCGAUGGGAAACUGGUUAAUAUUCCAGUACUUUGUAUUACUGCGAUGAGGGGACGGAGAAGGCUAAAUCUACCGGGCGAUGGUUGUCCCGGAGAAAGUAUGUAGGCAGAGAGCUUUGGUAAAUCCGGGCUCUUGUUAAUGCCGAGAUAUGAUGACAACCGGCCUAUGUGCCGGAAAGUGGUUGAUGCCACGCUUCCAGGAAAAGCCUCUAAGCUUCAGGUAAUACAGAACCGUACCGCAAACCGACACAGGUAGGUGGGGAGAGAAUCCUAAGGCGCUUGAGAAAACUCUGGUGAAGGAACUAGGCAAAUUGGUACCGUAACUUCGGGAGAAGGUACGCCUCUAUUGGUGAUGAAACUUGCUUUCUAAGCUGACAGAGGUCGAAGAUACCAGGUGGCUGCGACUGUUUACUAAAAACACAGCACUCUGCAAACACGUAAGUGGAAGUAUAGGGUGUGACGCCUGCCCGGUGCCGGAAGGUUAAUUGAUGGGGUCAGCUAAUUUAUUAGCGAAGCUCUUGAUCGAAGCCCCGGUGAACGGCGGCCGUAACUAUAACGGUCCUAAGGUAGCGAAAUUCCUUGUCGGGUAAGUUCCGACCUGCACGAAUGGCGUAACGAUGGCCAUACUGUCUCCAACUGAGACUCAGUGAAAUUGAAAUCGCUGUGAAGAUGCAGUGUACGCGCGGCUAGACGGAAAGACCCCGUGCACCUUUACUACAGCUUUACACUGAACUUUGAAUUCAAUUGUGUAGCAUAGCUGGGAGACUUUGAAACUGAUGCGCUAGCAACAGUGGAGUCAACCUUUGAAAUACCAGCCUAUUGCCUUUGGAGUUCUAACCCAGAACCGUUAUCCGGUUCGGAGACAGUGUAUGGUGGGUAGUUUGACUGGGGCGGUCUCCUCCUAAAGAGUAACGGAGGAACGCGAUGGUACCCUCAAUACGGUUGGAAAUCGUAUGAUGCGUGUAAAGGCAUAAGGGUGCUUGACUGCGAGACGUACAUGUCGAGCAGGUACGAAAGUAGGUCUUAGUGAUCCGGUGGUUCUGUAUGGAAGGGCCAUCGCUCAAUGGAUAAAAGGUACGCCGGGGAUAACAGGCUGAUACUGCCCAAGAGCUCAUAUCGACGGCAGUGUUUGGCACCUCGAUGUCGGCUCAUCACAUCCUGGGGGUGAAGCAGCUCCCAAGGGUAUGGCUGUUCGCCAUUUAAAGUGGUACGCGAGCUGGGUUUAGAACGUCGUGAGACAGUUCGGUCCCUAUCUACCGUGCGCGUUUGAUAUUUGAUGGAAGUUGCUCCUAGUACGAGAGGACCGGAGUGAACCUAUCCCUGGUGUUCCAGUUGUCUCACCAGAGGCAUUGCUGGGUAGCUAUAUAGGGUUGUGAUAACCGCUGAAAGCAUCUAAGCGGGAAGCCAUACCAAAGAUAAGAUAUCACUGGACCUUUAAGGUCCCUAAAGAUCCGUUCAAGACUAGGACGUUGAUAGGCUGGGUGUGGAAGCGUAGUAAUAUGUGAAGCUAACCAGUACUAAUUGAUCGUGAGGCUUGAUC
Molecule: ribosomal RNA, 2191 nt
Filed under: marine metagenome
Description: bacterial LSU rRNA
Rfam family: Bacterial large subunit ribosomal RNA
Source: RNAcentral